AAAAUCCAACUGGAUUGAGCUAUCAUUGUCAUAUAUGCUGUGCAUAAGUAUAAAAGCUGAUAAAUUUGGAAUGCUGUACACCUGCGAAACCAUCACUACCACCAGAAAAGAAAUGAAAUAGCUAUGGAAAACGUUGACAAGGACAGUUGGAGAAGAGAGAAGUGACCCUGAUGCUCUGAGAACAGGGAGGGAAGAGAAACAAUAAAACACAGACAGAUGGGAAAAUUGUAAAAACGCAGCAGGCUAAGGAAAGAAGAGUGAAGAUAAAGCUGAAUAUGUGCUUCAAACUAUCCCAUAAAUCAUGGAGGGAAGAACAGUAUGCUCACAUGUUCCUCAUGUCUAGAACUCGUGUUUGAGGUGGGAGUUGAAAAUUGAGGCCCUACACCAGGCCAUUGAGGCAUGCGGAGUGUUGGCGGCAAGAAGUCUCAGGAACCUCUGCAUGAGGGCAUCUUCAGUUCUGUGCCUACCCGAAGCGAAUGAAGGGGACCUAAUGGACUCCUAGAGUCCUCCUUGCAUCUGACAAGGCUGGGAAGGAGAAUGCUGUGCUGUGUUUGAUAUAUGAACAAAGGACAACUCGCCAACACUGUUGCAGAGGUAUUUUGAUUUCUGAACCAAAUUAGAUACCAGUAUUUAAAUUUACCUGUGUCUCAGGAUGAUUGCAGAAGAUUUAAAAUGAAUGUAUAAACUUUCUGCAACGGUUACCAGGAAGAUAAAAACCUAAAUAUGGUAAUUAGAA
Ictidomys tridecemlineatus (thirteen-lined ground squirrel) is the source of this 736-nucleotide long non-coding RNA. RefSeq lists it as uncharacterized. The record is from RefSeq and is a predicted model, not a curated record. NCBI's taxonomy places the organism in Eukaryota, Metazoa, Chordata, Mammalia, Rodentia, Sciuridae.